CUGUCAUUCUAGCAAAUGCAGCAAUUCCACUAGCCAGAUCAGUACGCUGUUUGGAUCUAGCAUUUUCAGAUUUCACAAAAGCAACUAUUAUAGCAAGUCCAAAUGCUAUUCCAAACACAACCCCUAAAACAAAUGACAUUUUUAUCCCACUUUUUCUUAAAUCCCCUCUUCCUUGUUCAAUGAUUUCUAUAAGCUAAUAAACUGAAAAAAUUCGAAAAGAUCUAAAAAAAAGGUGAGAUUUUGAAUCUGUUUUUGGAGUUUUCUUCUUAUGGGGUUUUCCUAAAAGAUGAAUUCUUG
This 297-nucleotide unclassified non-coding RNA is filed under the name Hevea brasiliensis (rubber tree). The record is from RNAcentral. Lineage: Eukaryota; Viridiplantae; Streptophyta; Magnoliopsida; Malpighiales; Euphorbiaceae.